This 186-nucleotide ribosomal RNA is filed under the name uncultured bacterium. RNAcentral's name for it is "partial 16S ribosomal RNA". It matches the Rfam family "Bacterial small subunit ribosomal RNA", at positions 1315 to 1500 of the family's 1533-position model. The record is from RNAcentral.
CCUAUAUGAAGUCGGAAUUGCUAGUAAUCGCGGAUCAGCAUGCCGCGGUGAAUACGUUCCCGGGCCUUGUACACACCGCCCGUCACACCAUGAGAGUCGAUAACACCCGAAGCCUGUAGUCUAACAGCAAUGAGGACGCAGUCGAAGGUGGGAUUGAUAAUUAGGGUGAAGUCGUAACAAGGUAUC